CUUAAGGUCGAAUUUCAGAUAAACAAGAAAUUUUUUUAGUAUAAGUAUGUUCCAUGUACUAUUUGGAACAUACUUAUACUAAAAAUGUAUUUGUCGUUUAUCUGAAAUUUAAAUUAAACUGAGCAUCUUAUAUUUU
Molecule: microRNA precursor, 136 nt
Filed under: Pteropus vampyrus (large flying fox)
Lineage: Eukaryota; Metazoa; Chordata; Mammalia; Chiroptera; Pteropodidae
Description: miRNA (ENSPVAG00000027629.1)
Rfam family: mir-1302 microRNA precursor family (bases 33-84)
Source: RNAcentral